RNAcentral lists this ribosomal RNA (497 nucleotides) under uncultured bacterium. RNAcentral's name for it is "partial 16S ribosomal RNA". It matches the Rfam family "Bacterial small subunit ribosomal RNA", at positions 28 to 507 of the family's 1533-position model. The record is from RNAcentral.
GAUGAACGCUGGCGGCGUGCCUAAUACGUGCAAGUCGAGCGAACGGACGAGAAGCUUGCUUCUCUUAUGUUAGCGGCGGACGGGUGAGUAACACGUGGAUAACCUACCUAUAAGACUGGGAUAACUUCGGGAAACCGGAGCUAAUACCGGAUAAUAUUUUGAACCGCAUGGUUCAAAAGUGAAAGACGGUCUUGCUGUCACUUAUAGAUGGAUCCGCGCUGCAUUAGCUAGUUGGUAAGGUAACGGCUUACCAAGGCAACGAUGCAUAGCCGACCUGAGAGGGUGAUCAGCCACACUGGAACUGAGACACGGUCCAGACUCCUACGGGAGGCAGCAGUAGGGAAUAUUCCGCAAUGGGCGAAAGCCUGACGGAGCAACGCCGCGUGAGUGAUGAAGGUCUUCGGAUCGUAAAACUCUGUUAUUAGGGAAGAACAUAUGUGUAAGUAACUGUGCACAUCUUGACGGUACCUAAUCAGAAAGCAGCGGCUAACUACGUG